Molecule: ribosomal RNA, 463 nt
Filed under: uncultured bacterium
Lineage: Bacteria
Description: partial 16S ribosomal RNA
Rfam family: Bacterial small subunit ribosomal RNA
Source: RNAcentral
GAUGAACGCUGACAGAAUGCUUAACACAUGCAAGUCUUUGGCGAAGCUGUGCUUGCACAGCCUAGCCAAGGCGGACGGGUGAGUAACGCGUAAGGAACUUGCCCUGCAGUCAGGGAUAACAGACGGAAACGACUGAUAAGACCUGGUAAAGUCAGGCGGACUCAUGUCCAGCCUGAUGAAAAGAGAUGCUGCAGGAGAGCCUUGCGUCCUAUUAGCUUGUUGGUGGGGUAACGGCCCACCAAGGCGAUGAUAGGUAGCCGGCCUGAGAGGGUGGACGGCCACAAGGGGACUGAGAUACGGCCCUUACUCCUACGGGAGGCAGCAGUGGGGAAUAUUGGACAAUGGGGGCAACCCUGAUCCAGCAAUUCUGUGUGCACGAUGAAGGUUUUCGGAUUGUAAAGUGCUUUCAGCAGGGAAGAAAAAAAUGACGGUACCUGCAGAAGAAGCGACGGCUAAAUAUGUG